RNAcentral lists this long non-coding RNA (265 nucleotides) under Mytilus galloprovincialis (Mediterranean mussel). Lineage: Eukaryota; Metazoa; Mollusca; Bivalvia; Mytilida; Mytilidae. The record is from RNAcentral.
GCCAGGCUGUCUAAUGGGAGUUUUUUUUGUGUCAUGUCACUGUAUUAUUAGCCAGGCUGUCUAAUGGGAGUUAUUUUUGUGUCAUGUCACUGUAUUAUUAGCCAAGCUGUCUAAUGGGAGUUAUGUUUGUGUCAUGUCAUUGCAUUAUUAGCAAGGCUGUCUAAUGGGAGUUAUUUUUGUGUCAUGUCACUGUAUUAUUAGCCAGGCUGUCUAAAGGGAGUUAUUUUUGUGUCAUGUCACUGUAUCAUUAGCCAGGCUGUCUAAU